This 510-nucleotide ribosomal RNA is filed under the name Triticum aestivum (bread wheat). RNAcentral describes it as "partial small subunit ribosomal RNA". The record is from RNAcentral. Lineage: Eukaryota; Viridiplantae; Streptophyta; Magnoliopsida; Poales; Poaceae.
AUGGAAGAAGGAACUGAUAAAACUGUGAGUUCAUUGGAUGAAAAAGAUGAUGAGGAGAGCGAAGAACAAAAGGAGGAAGAGCGGAUUAGCUACCCGUGCCCACCUUCUAAUGAGAGUAACUCUACAACUCAUACAUCAUUUAAUGCCCCUUCGUUCUUACCGAAGGAUGGAUGCUAUGAUAAUUGCUAUGAUCCCGUUGAUUCAUUUGAAAUAUCCCUUUUUGAUGAACUUGAUGCUUGUUAUGCUUGUGGCCAAGAUGCCAAUAUGAAUUAUGCUUAUGGAGAUGAACUUGCUAUAGUUCCUUAUGUUAAGAAUGACAUUGUUGCUAUUGCACCCACACAUGAUAGUCCUAUUAUCUUUUUGAAUUCUCCCAACUACACUAUAUCGGAGAAGUUUGCUCUUAUUAAGGAUUAUAUUGAUGGGUUGCCUUUUACCGUUGCACAUGAUAAUUUUGAUGAAUGUAAUAUGCAUGUGCUUGCUGCUCCUACUUGCAAUUAUUAUGAGAGAUGA